GACAGAGGUGCCAAGCGUUAGGCGGAAUCACUGGGCUUAAAGCGUGUGUAGGCGGAGUGCUAAGUACCUUGUGAAAUCCCACGGCUCAACCGUGGAACUGCUGGGUAUACUGGUUCUCUUGAGCGACCCAGGGGCGAGCGGAACAAACGGUGGAGCGGUGAAAUGCGUAGAUAUCGGAAGGAACACCGGUGGCGAAAGCGGCGCGCUGGACCCCUUCUGACGCUGAGGCGCGAAAGCCAGGGGAGCAAACGGG
RNAcentral lists this ribosomal RNA (253 nucleotides) under uncultured bacterium. Its description in RNAcentral is "partial 16S ribosomal RNA". It matches the Rfam family "Bacterial small subunit ribosomal RNA", at positions 524 to 776 of the family's 1533-position model. The record is from RNAcentral.